CCCUUAGAUGUUCUGGGCCGCACGCGCGCUACACUGAUUCAUGCAACAAGUUUUGUCCUUGGCUGAUAGGCCUGGGUAAUCUUUGAACGUGAAUCGUGAUGGGGAUAGAUGAUUGCAAUUAUUCAUCUUCAACGAGGAAUUCCUAGUAAACGCAAGUCAUCAGCUUGCAUUGAUUACGUCCCUGCCCUUUGUACACACCGCCCGUCGCACCUACCGAUUGAAUGGUCCGGUGAAAUCUUCGGAUCUGAGAGAUGUCUGAUUAAUUUCGGACGCCUUUUGGAAAAGUUGUUUAAACCUUACCAUUUAGAGGAAGGUGAAGUCGUGACA
Molecule: ribosomal RNA, 327 nt
Filed under: uncultured eukaryote
Lineage: Eukaryota
Description: partial 18S ribosomal RNA
Rfam family: Eukaryotic small subunit ribosomal RNA
Source: RNAcentral